UGCGUAGGCGGUGCGGAAAGUUGGGUGUGAAAUCCCUCGGCUUAACCGAGGAAUUGCGCUCAAUACUACCGUGCUCGAGGGAGAUAGAGGAAUGCGGAACUUACGGUGGAGCGGUGAAAUGCGUUGAUAUCGUAGGGAACACCGGUGGCGAAAGCGGCAUUCUGGAUCUCUUCUGACGCUGAGGCACGAAAGGCUGGUAAGCAAACG
This 207-nucleotide ribosomal RNA is filed under the name uncultured bacterium. RNAcentral's name for it is "partial 16S ribosomal RNA". It matches the Rfam family "Bacterial small subunit ribosomal RNA", at positions 568 to 774 of the family's 1533-position model. The record is from RNAcentral.